AUUGAACGCUGGCGGCAGGCCUAACACAUGCAAGUCGAACGGUAACAGGAAGCAGCUUGCUGCUUUGCUGACGAGUGGCGGACGGGUGAGUAAUGUCUGGGAAACUGCCUGAUGGAGGGGGAUAACUACUGGAAACGGUAGCUAAUACCGCAUAACGUCGCAAGACCAAAGAGGGGGACCUUCGGGCCUCUUGCAAUCGGAUGUGCCCAGAUGGGAUUAGCUAGUAGGUGGGGUAACGGCUCACCUAGGCGACGAUCCCUAGCUGGUCUGAGAGGAUGACCAGCCACACUGGAACUGAGACACGGUCCAGACUCCUACGGGAGGCAGCAGUGGGGAAUAUUGCACAAUGGGCGCAAGCCUGAUGCAGCCAUGCCGCGUGUAUGAAGAAGGCCUUCGGGUUGUAAAGUACUUUCAGCGGGGAGGAAGGGAGUAAAGUUAAUACCUUUGCUCAUUGACGUUACCCGCAGAAGAAGCACCGGCUAACUCCGUG
This 490-nucleotide ribosomal RNA is filed under the name uncultured bacterium. RNAcentral's name for it is "partial 16S ribosomal RNA". It matches the Rfam family "Bacterial small subunit ribosomal RNA", at positions 30 to 507 of the family's 1533-position model. The record is from RNAcentral.